ACCUCCAGCUACUGACACGUGUCUUUAGCUUGCAAUCCUAACCCUCCAUUAAUCUAUUCCCAUUUUUUUGAUCUGCUUUCUUUUCCAUCUUUGCCCUGUUCAUUAUCUCUUCAGUUCAUUCACCAAUCACCAUCCCCUUACUCUUUGCUGUUAUGUCCUCCUUUCCCGUUAUUGAGUUUCUUUCUCUAUUUUUCCCUUUAUUAUUCUCUGUUAAUCAUCUCGGUUUCUUCCUCUACUCUUGGUCCUUCAUUUUCUUUUCAAGUACUUAUUGAUUUUCUUCUGACUUCCAUUUCUUUGCUGAGUUUCAGGGAAAAUGAAAUACAAAGACAAUCAUCAAUACCGAGGUCCAGAUGAACAUCAAUCAUGUGAAUAUGGUUAUCAUUGAUUUUGCUCUUCAACCUUAUGGUUUACUCAUAAAAGAUGCUUAACUUUUCAUAUAAUGUCAUCAACAAUGGAGGUAGAUUAAGAACUGUUCUUGAUGUGGGUUGUGGUGUUGCGAGUUUUGGUGGUACCUUCUCUCAUCCGAUGUCAUUGCUAUGUCCUUGGCACGUAUUGAUGUUCAUCAAAAUCAAAUACAGAUUGCAUUGGAAAGACGAACCCCUGCUUAUCUUGGUGUUUUAGGGACAAAAGGCUACCAUAUCCUAGCAGGUCAUUUGAACUUGCGCACUGCUCACGAUGUACAAUGGAUUGGCUUCAAAGAGAUGGUACAUUUCUUCUUGAGUUAGAUAGGGUGCUAAGGCUUGGUUGCUAUUUUGCUUAAUCUUCUCCGAAAGCAUAUGCACAGGAUGAGGAGGAUCUUAGGAUAUGGAAAGAGACAAGUGCUCUUGUGGAGAGGAUGUACUGAAAAGUAGCUGCAAAAAGAAAUCAAACAGUCGUUUGGGUCAAGCCUUUGAACAAUGACUGCUACAUGCAAAGGCUUCCUGGUACUCAACCUGCACUUUGCCGAUCUGAUGAUGAUCCCAAUGCUGUUUUGGAUUGCCAAUGGAAGCAUACAUCACAUCAUACUUGUGUUUUUUAUGUUGAUAGUUGUUAUUCUCUUAUAACUUGACCUUGUGCUUAUCUUUCUGGGUUUACAUGUUCUUUUCAAGGGAAAUCGUUGAUGAUCUCUUUCAAAAAUGGUUUUUGAAGAUAACAUGUAAAGAAGUAUCCUUCAUCUUGAUUUUAUAUCUUCUGUAACUUUGAAAUAUUUUUCAUGAGAAUAUUAAUGUAGAGUUUGGGUUGACGAAGUCUUUGAAACAUUAAUUUAGUAUUAUAGGGAUGAAGUUUCCAAAAUGGAUAUUCGGUGGGAAGUUUCUGGUAACUAUGGUCCUAAUAAUUUGGAGGAUAUUGGUGAUGUGAUACGACAUUUUGAAAUUUAUGGAGUUUUUACUUUUGAUUUUCUUGAA
Molecule: long non-coding RNA, 1385 nt
Organism: Amaranthus tricolor (Joseph's coat)
Lineage: Eukaryota; Viridiplantae; Streptophyta; Magnoliopsida; Caryophyllales; Amaranthaceae
Exons: 4
Source: RefSeq, a predicted model, not a curated record